UCUAUAAAUUCUUUUUGAUGUUCAUUUCUCAUUUGAUUCUUUGAUGAUUUCUCCUAAACCUCAAGAAUCUAAUCUUUUAUUUUUAGAUUCUUUUAUUGUAUUGAUUCAACAAACAUUUCAACAUAAACACCAUUUUUGGAACAAACAGUUAGCACUAGAAGGAGGGGGCAAGGAGAACUAUCUUUAAAGCAUAUCAACCUUGGGAAAAUCCUAGAUCUAACUUCAUCUCAAGCUAAAAGAUGAAGCUUUCAUAAAGCUUUGUUUUUGUUGGGGAUGGGACUAUCAUCAAGCACUUCGUCGGCAGUUUGAUCGAGUAUUGAAAUCAUCUUUGAAAAAGAUAAGUUUCACAAUCUCACCUCAUUAUUAAAAUUCGAUUCAUAAUCUUGGCAUAAUAAGAUACAUACGUUUAUCUUUGAAAAGGAAUGGAAAUAAUAUAAAAAAAAAUUAUUUCUGACUUUAGGAGUCGUGACCGACGACGACUCUGAAAAAGAGGGAAUCGAACACAGACGACGUCGAUGGGGCUGUCGCUGCUUUCCCGCAUCGGUCGAGUUCGUCGAGUUCCGUUCGAUCUCCGCCAACGACGAGCCAGCCUGUGGCGGAAGGAGAAAAGAGAGAGGUCGUUCACUACCUCAACGGCAGUCGUGAACUCGAAAGUUCUCAGCUUUGGAGCUCGCGACGGAGAACCGAGAUCUCAACUCAGUUCACUACCUCUCCUCUCACCAACAAAACCGCUUGGACGCCAUUGAUAGACAGAUCAACAGCUCUGAGAUUCCUCAGGAGUUUCUCUGAACGUGUUGAAGGAGAUGAAGAGAGACGCCGCGAGAAUUCUCGAUUUAGAAUCAAGCACGCGUCUUGUUCGACGAAUUGAUUCAGAGAGCUUCUAUCAUCACCUGAGCAGUUUGUUUCUGCGACCAAGAUCAAGUAUUUGCUCGUUUUGUUACUCCUCGCAAACCUCAGGUUACAGAUUCCACACUUGAGGCAAAGAAGCUCACCGACCACGAUAGGGAGAAGAUGAGUCUCGUAAAGCUUGCUACUUUGAUUGCAUCACGGCACUACCUGCAACCACUUCAACCUGAGACAUGUUCUUCAAGAAGCUCUCAUGGCUGAGCUCCACCAUGACCGGUGACUUCUCCUGUUUACAAGUCACCUCCUCUGCUCAACAUCUCUGCUCCAGUCUGAAUGACUGUUGUUUCUGGAAUCUCACUGUCGUGUUCCUCCCUGCGACUCCCCUGUCACUCAAGCUCCACCUUUGUUUGUUGGAAUCUCUUGCUUCUCUUUGCUGGCUUGUUCUGUGAUACACAGAGCCCAUCACCGAACAAGAUAAUGCUGACCUGCCCAAUGAUGAAUCUCAGCAAACAUGGUGAUUCUCCUCAUCAAAGCUCAAGACUUGAUCCAGGCAAGAACCAUCUCAUCACAAGAGCUCGUCCUCUCAUCAUUUUGUUUGCAAAGACUCCUAACGGAAAGAGAGCACAAGCCUGCCGCAACCGUGGCAAGAGCUCAUCAAAAGAUCGUUUCUGAAACAGUUCGAUCUCUACUGUCGCUUGAUCUCUACCUCAGACGCUUGUUUCUUCUUCAGGCCAAAGAUGCUCUGAUCUCGUUAAGCUUGGACCUCGGCAAAGGCAUCUCGUCAAAACCAUUCUCGGCAGUCCAUGCGUUUCGUUCUCGUCGGAGCUCAAUACUUGGCCUCGGCUAUCUCGUUAUCCUCAGUCCUCACAUGUCGCAUCAACAUCAGUAGCGGCACAGAGCAUGCUUGUUCUUCAGCUCAGCAGCGACGUUGCCACUGCAUAGACAUAGCUCAACCUCAGUGAAAGCGGCGAGCAACUAAUCAUGGCAAUUUGAUUGUGACGGUUCUUUCAUGGCAAAACUCGUGGAGAACUUCUCACACUGGACUCGAAGGCAAUAACCAAGCAGAAACGACAUCAUGAUCUUGAGGACACGACCAACAGCCUAUCAUCUCGUCGCAAACUUCCAUAUGCUUGCCACAAUGAGCACAAGCUUCUCGUUAAGAAGGAACAGCACUUGAGAUAUGACCUAAUCGUCGGAUCAUCUCUCCAAGAAGCCUUCUCGUCAUGGUCAUCUCGACGUAACAACGAAGCCUCUCUCGGCAACAAAGGCUGUUCAUCACAAGCUUGCCAUCUCGGUUGUGUUUCACUGCACUGGCCACGUUCUCUAUUUUUCUUCUACUCCUUUAGGAGACUGAAUCAGAGCUUGGAGCUGUUAUAAAAAAAAAAGAGAAGAAAAAAAACUUUCAUCUCCAACAACUCAUGACCACUGGCCACUCAUCAUCAAAGACAUGUGACAUGCUCGGAUCAGUCUCUUGUCAUUGCGCCACAAAUGACAAGUCCAGAUUCUGAUUCUCAUGAAGAGCUUACCACAAGCCGUACAAGCGGCACAAGCCAACAACUUGCUCGGCGCACACGAUCUCAACACGAGACUUCGGAUCGGCAAUAGUUCGUCCUUAGUGGGGUGGAAGAUCUCCGAAUUGUAAUUAUGCCGGAGACGUGGAGGCAUUCCGUUUGGAUGGUCGACAAAGUUGAAGAUGAGUGAUGAAGGCGAACAUAAAGGAGUAGCUUCAACAAGUAUCAGAGUUAUGUUGAGAAUCCAAGCUUAGUUGUGACAUAUAAGACAAAGAUGCAUGACAGGUUCGUGUUCAUGCACGUGUUAUGUAACUUGUCUAGUGAUCACUAGACACGUGGAGAUGAAGAUCAUGCACUUGCUGACCUGAUUAAAAAUGGGUUUUUGGUUUUAAGUGUCAAACUGCGUCUUUGUUGCAUCUCAAUUACUUAAGUUUGUUACCCGUAUUUUUCCCCAUUAGACUGUUAUAAAACAAGGUGACAAAAAACGUGAGUAUAAUUUUUUGAAGAAAUAGUACCGAACUGUUUGAGAUUAAAAUAUUCUAAAUAGUUUUUUUGUGAAUUAAUAUUUUUAAAUAGGUGAGUCGUCAAUAAACUAGCACAUGUUUUUUUUUUCAUUCAAUAUAUUCAUUCAAAGGUGAGAUCUAAGUUUUAAGAACUAGCACAUGUAAUGUAAUAAAAUUUGAUAAAACUUUCUUCUUUUCAAAAACAAAAAAAAGUUUUCAUAAAGAAGGUGGCCGGUGGCCUUGGCUACCGUUACCACUUUUUUUUUUCUUUUUGUUAUAAAUACUAUCAAUUAUGAUUGAUUAGGUUUUUCGCUUGUUGUCGGAUUUAGUCUUCGCUUUGGCGACUUCGGUUCCGCUUGUCGAAAAUUUUCUUCGCUUCGCAAUUUUUUUGUUGUGUAUUUUCAAGCCAAUCCUUUUCUUCAUGUUUUCAUAUUUUAUCUCUAAUUUGCUUGAUUCUCUUCUCCCGUGCAAAAUUAAAUUUUUUCAUUCCGGUUUUUUUAUUAGCUCUCUUUUGAUCUUUGAGUGCUAGAUCUCCUCCAUGGGAAUGGGAGAGUAAUCAUCUUCUUCCUGUUGAAAUAAGUUGGGAAGUUUCUCCUUCUUGGUUGAGAAUCUUAGUUAAUAGAUGAGACAUACCGAUUGAAAGCAGAUUUAGCAAAGUUGGGGUUUUAUAUGAAACGUCCUAACAUAUGAUUUGUUCUUUUGAUUGGUCAAGACCAUCUCGAGCUUAAUGAUCGAGGAUCAUUCUGAGCUCAAAGAAGAAGGCCGGCGAACACUGCAUGUGGGUUUCAAGACGGAUUCGAAAGAGGCGGCAAAACGUCAUGCGUCAUCUCCAAAUAGACGACUGGAGAGAUGAUCGGAAAAUUGAUCCGAGCGCCGGUGAGCAGGUGUAGACAUUUCGGGAAUCUUCUCACCACUCAAAGACAAGCCUUUUUUUUUAACACGUGUUCUACACGUGCUUUUUCUUGUAUUAAUCUUAUCUUUAGAUUUGUAUUGGGCUUUUAUGUGUUGGAAACGGUUUUCGAAUUCUUUGUGAUGUUUAAGCUUUAUAAAAAGCAAUGUUGACAAAAAAAAGCACAUGUAAUGUAAUGACAAAUCCAAAGAAAUAUUUUAAAACUCCUAAA
Brassica napus (rape) is the source of this 3981-nucleotide long non-coding RNA. RefSeq lists it as uncharacterized. Lineage: Eukaryota; Viridiplantae; Streptophyta; Magnoliopsida; Brassicales; Brassicaceae. The transcript is spliced from 2 exons. The record is from RefSeq and is a predicted model, not a curated record.